Long non-coding RNA from Orcinus orca (killer whale), 517 nucleotides. RefSeq lists it as uncharacterized. The record is from RefSeq and is a predicted model, not a curated record. NCBI's taxonomy places the organism in Eukaryota, Metazoa, Chordata, Mammalia, Artiodactyla, Delphinidae. The transcript has 2 exons.
AGCAAUUUGCUAAAUGAAAAAUCAUUCAUUUUCCUUUUCUGAAAUAAUAUAUAAAUUUCACAAGAAUAAUCAUGCAGAACAUCCGGUUUCACACUUAAGAAUAUAUACCCCCAACCUUCCUUGUAAAAAGCAGACGAUAUCACCAAAUUAAAUACGCUAAGGUGGAAAACAUCACAACUGCGAGUCCCCGCUGUCUGAUGAGAACUGUGCACAGAUUCAAGAUCAUUAUUACAACUCCCAUCUCUCCCCAGAAAAGGACAGCUGAACCAGCUGCUGACUGUAUAUUCUACGAAACAGCAUUAAACUCAAAGAAGUUCCUAUGAAAUGCUACUUCUCUAACAUUUCCCCUAUGUUAGAUGUGUAAAAACUUCCAAUUAUUAUAAAAGGAAAAUUAAGUCGAUUCUUUCCUAACACUCAAAUGCCAAGCUUCCAAAUCAAACACAAAUUUUCUAAAAGCAAAAGAUGCCCCGUGACAGUUCACUUCACAAUUCCCAAAAUGAAAUGAGUUCUCAACUGA